GCCCGGGGGGCUCAGUUGGUUCAGCUUCUGACUUUAGCUCAGGUCAUGAUCUCACUGCUUGUGGGUUCAAGCCCCGCGUCGGGCU
Molecule: non-coding RNA, 85 nt
Organism: Felis catus (domestic cat)
Lineage: Eukaryota; Metazoa; Chordata; Mammalia; Carnivora; Felidae
Source: Rfam